This 984-nucleotide long non-coding RNA is filed under the name Homo sapiens (human). Its description in RNAcentral is "long non-coding RNA NONHSAT150425.1". Lineage: Eukaryota; Metazoa; Chordata; Mammalia; Primates; Hominidae. The record is from RNAcentral.
CUUGCUCACCCUUGACUUGGAAAAACCAGUUUCUCUUUUAUUGUCUGUUACUAAUCUCUAUUCUAAAAAUUCAGCUCAAUUCUCAACCAUACUCCAAACUCUCUCUUUUCCAGCUACCUUUACUCCCUCUCCUUCAAUUCCACUUUCCUCUGCUUACUUUUUUUUUUUUUCUGACAGGGUCUCACUUUGUCGCCCGGGCAGGAGUGCAGUGGCUCAAUCUUGGGCUCACUGCAGCCUCAACCUCCCAGGUUCAAGCGAUUCUCCUGCCUCAGCCCCUCAAGUAGCUGGGACUACAAGCGCACACCACCACGCCUGACUAAUUUUUUGUAUUUUUUUGUAGAGGCGGGGUUUCACCAUGUUGCCCAGACUGGUCUUGAACUCCUGAGCUUAAGCAAUCCACCUGCCUCGGCCUCCCAAAGUGUUGGGAUCACAGGCGUGAGCCACCGCAUCCGGCCUCAUGUUCUUUUUCAUUAAAGAGAGAAAUCAACUAUUCAGGACCGGCCCCCACCUUUCCUCAGGAGUCAUUUCUGUUCCGCACAGGCCUGCUGAACUGGGUGCUUUAUAUAGGACACUGUCAUCUCUCAAGUACCCAUCUUGGAGGGUACGGACCCCACAUGAGGGUGAGGCUCUCUGCACACUCCAGAAUUUCAGUGGAGUGAAGUUCAGGAGGCAUGGAGCUGACAACCAUGAGGCCUCGGCAGCCACCGCCACCACCGCCGCCGCCACCACCGUAGCAGCAGCAGCAGCAGCAGCAGCAGCAGCAGCAGCAGCAAGAGUAACUCUGACUUAGGAAUAGAGACAGCCAGAGAGAAAUGUGAUCAAUGAAGGAGACAUCUGGAGUGUGCGUGCUUCUUCAGAGGGACGGGUGAUGGGCAGAUUGGAAAAAGCACCGCAGAUGGGAACCUUAAUCUUUCUUUUCUAAAAUUGAUGCUAUGAAAAUUUGCGUUUUCUGUAACUUGUAAAAACUAAAAGUUGCUUGUCUAC